Molecule: ribosomal RNA, 372 nt
Filed under: uncultured organism
Description: partial 16S ribosomal RNA
Rfam family: Bacterial small subunit ribosomal RNA
Source: RNAcentral
GUAGGUGGCAAGCGUUGUCCGGAAUUAUUGGGCGUAAAGCGCGCGCAGGCGGUUCUUUAAGUCUGAUGUGAAAGCCCACGGCUCAACCGUGGAGGGUCAUUGGAAACUGGAGAACUUGAGUACAGAGGAGGAAAGCGGAAUUCCACGUGUAGCGGUGAAAUGCGUAGAGAUGUGGAGGAACACCAGUGGCGAAGGCGGCUUUCUGGUCUGUAACUGACGCUGAGGCGCGAAAGCGUGGGGAGCAAACAGGAUUAGAUACCCUGGUAGUCCACGCCGUAAACGAUGAGUGCUAAGUGUUAGGGGGUUUCCGCCCCCCUUAGUGCUGCAGCUAACGCAUUAAGCACUCCGCCUGGGAGUACGGCCGCAAGGCUG